Molecule: ribosomal RNA, 253 nt
Filed under: uncultured bacterium
Lineage: Bacteria
Description: partial 16S ribosomal RNA
Rfam family: Bacterial small subunit ribosomal RNA
Source: RNAcentral
UACAGGGGGGGCAAGCGUUGUUCGGAAUUACUGGGCGUAAAGGGUCUGUAGGUGGCCAACUAAGUCAGACGUGAAAUCCCUCAGCUUAACUGGGGAACUGCGUCUGAUACUGGAUGGCUCGAGUGUGGGAGAGGAAUGCGGAAUUCCAGGUGUAGCGGUGAAAUGCGUAGAUAUCUGGAGGAACACCGGUGGCGAAGGCGGCAUCCUGGACCGACACUGACGCUGAUGAGCGAAAGCCAGGGGAGCAAACGGG